This is a long non-coding RNA of Leptidea sinapis, 3323 nucleotides long. RefSeq lists it as uncharacterized. The record is from RefSeq and is a predicted model, not a curated record. NCBI's taxonomy places the organism in Eukaryota, Metazoa, Arthropoda, Insecta, Lepidoptera, Pieridae. The transcript has 5 exons.
CAUCGUUUUUUUCUAACGGCCGUUCCCAAUAUACUAUCUACAAAUAGAGAUAAAUUACUACCUUCUACUGUCAGUAAUCUGAAGCUGUCCUAAUAUACCCGAUAAGUCAUUCUUAUCGCCUUAUAUUGGGACGCGUGGAAUGCGUGCAAUUACCAUACAAACUUUAUAUCGCUGGUAAGCUAUACGUUGUCCCAUUGACAGACAGCGUGCACGGAUAAGAUGAGUUCCGUCGAUAAGUUUAUUGGGACAGAAAAAACAACGAUAGUUCCGAUUUUUAUCUCAAGUAAGAGAUAGACUGAAUAUUGGGAUCGGCCGUAACAGGCUCCUAAUCUUUGUACUCUGUACCUGGCACCUUUUUGGAAAACACUCGUUGAAUAGAAAAAGGUCAACUUUUCCCAGCAUUUUAUCGACAUUCUCUAUUAAAUCGUGCUUUCUACUUUCAUUAUUAAAAUUAUCUACAAUUACUGUCACAACAUUUCUUAUAGAACAGUUGGCUAAACAAGCCUACGGGUCAUCCAACGGUUAUGACGAUCACCACAGCACAUACUCUUUUGAAACACUUGGGUAAUCCCAGGAGUUCGCCAGCAUAAAUCAAGAGUUUUAUUACAUAAAUUGCCGGCGCAUUGAUAAGGAGACACGCCAUCUUAGUGACGUCAGGUGCAACUCACGACUUUCGAGACAUAUAUACUCAAGGUCAUAGCACACUUACACGACUCUGCUCCAACUCCGCUCCCACCCAACACAAACCUAUACUAAGAAGACUGCUCGCAGUCCACGCGGCGACAGCUAGCAGACAGGCACUAGUCCACCCACCGACCGCUCUCGCUUUUCGCGAUUGACAUUAGACUCAGUUUGCGAUCGGUUUCCAUUGAAGCAACUCGUAUUUUUUACUAUGUCCCGAUUCACAACGCGUGAGCUAGCAAUUAUUGCCAUUGCACUUGAGGAUGAAGAGAGAGGCGCAAGAAAUAACAGACGAAGAUUUUGGGAGCAUGGAGUGCUGAAAGCAAGACAUGCAGAAGGAGAAUUUUGGCAGAUCCAGAGACACCUGUUAGAUGACGAAGAAAAAUUCUAUAUUUACUUUCAUAUGAAUCGGUACUUAUUUGACUACAUAUUAUCAUUUAUUGAAAAAGACAUCACAAAGAAGAAUACGAAAUUCAGACAAGCAAUAACACUAAAAGAAAAAUUUGCUGUCACGUUAAGGUAAGUGAAAGAGAUACUUUUCUUGUAAAUUUGUACAUAUUUAUUGAAAAAAUAAAAUAGUAACAAUCAGUCUCUAAUUUCCAUAAAUUAUCGAUCACAAUGUUACCUCAAAAUUAAUAAACAUUUUUCUGAGUAGCAUUAGGCAAUUCACUGUUCAAUAUCGGUUCUUCUAAAACUGGAGGAUUUUUGUCUGACAGCUCUGCAUUGCCGGUAUUAGAGUCGGAAGAUCAUUAUUGAGGUUAUAAGCCGAAGAUUCUGGAUUACGGGUACUAUAGCCGGAAGGGCCUGCAUUAUGGAGGUUAUAAUCUGAAGAUCCUGGAUUGCAGGUACUAUAGUCGGAAGGGCCUGCAUUAUGGAGGUUAUAAUCUGAAGAUCCUGGAUUGCAGGUACUAUAGUCGGAAGGGCCUGCAUUAUGGAGGUUAUAAUCUGAAGAUCCUGAAUUGCAGGUACUAUAGUCGGAAGGGCCUGCAUUAUGGAGGUUAUAAUCUGAAGAUCCUGGAUUGCAGGUACUAUAGCCGGAAGGGCCUGCAUUAUGGAGGUUAUAAUCUGAAGAUCCUGGAUUGCAGGUACUAUAGCCGGAAGGGCCUGCAUUAUGGAGGUUAUAAUCUGAAGAUCCUGGAUUGCAGGUACUAUAGCCGGAAGGGCCUGCAUUAUGGAGGUUAUAAUCUGAAGAUCCUGGAUUGCAGGUACUAUAGUCGGAAGGGCCUGCAUUAUGGAGGUUAUAAUCUGAAGAUCCUGGAUUGCAGGUACUAUAGCCGGAAGGGCCUGCAUUAUGGAGGUUAUAAUCUGAAGAUCCUGGAUUGCAGGUACUAUAGUCGGAAGGGCCUGCAUUACGGAUGUUAUAAUCCGAAAAUACUAUAUUGUGGGUGUUAUGACUCGAAGGUCCUGUAUUGUGAGUGUUAUCAGUAUUGUGUCGUGAAGACCCAGCAUAGACAUUAGUUUGUUCCUUGAUUUCUUGUAAUUCAAAUUCAGACACCAUAUUGAAUAGAGCGUAUACAACGAGUUACCGAGGCGCGCAAUCUGGGGGUUAUAAUGGAUGAAAGGCUUCGUUUCGAAAACACGUUCUAAAUAUUUCUCAUAAUUGCUUUUACCGUUUAAAGAUUCUUUAUCGCAUAAGAGAUUGUAUUUUACCGGUAGUGCGCAUCAAGCUAUGCAAAGCCCUGGUCUUAUCCAAGUUUAAUUAUGCUGAUACAGUAGUAGGGCCACGCUUACUUGCACAUACCAAGAAUUUAAUACAACGUGUGCAAAACGCAUGUGCACGCUACUGCUUCGACAUUUCACGGCGUGCUCACGUAACACCUUAUUUAAAUAAAAAUAAAAUUUUAAAAAUGGAUUAUCGUAUGCAUUUACACUUUGUUUCGCUUCUUUUCAAUAUAAUAAAGUAUAAAGUGCCGCCAUAUCUUUAUAGUAAAUUACAUUGGUUGAAAGAUAAUACCAGUGAAUACGUCACAAGAGCAUCUAAGUAUAGAUUACAAAUGCCGUUACACAGGAGUGCAGCUUUCCGGGGUAGUUUCAAGUUUACAGCCACUAAAUGUUGGAAUGACUUGCCAUCUCCUCUCUGUGACCUGAAAACAACUUCGAGUUUCAAAUUAAAAUAUAAGACUCUUUUAUUUCAGAAACAAUUAAGCAAUCAAUAACCCAUAAGUCUUAGAAAAACAGUAACUUCAAUUUAUAAUACAUAAAGUAGCAUUACUUGAAACACCCUGGAUCUUUACAAAUUGAAAUUAUAAUAUUUAUUCCCAUGCAUACAUAUUGUACAAACCGACUAUUAUUAUUUAAAAUUAUUCUGAAAAUAUUUGAAAAUACAUUAAUAUUACCUUUUUGUUAUGGCCAAAUAACGUGUCUAUUGCCAAUUUAUUUUUUCUUUCUUCUUAUUCUCUUUAUACCCUGUGUCCGCGAAGUUUACAUUUUUCAACAAUAAACUAUAACUGUAGUUGUGUUAUAAAAAUUUAUAAAUAUCAGAAUAGUGUCAUAUUUUAUUUAUUUUGCUAAUAUAGUUAUAAAAUUUUGCUUUUAGUGUAGAAAUAUAUGACUAUAUAAAUAACUGUUCAUCCAGGACCUGCUCCAUUUUCUUCUACACUUCUUGUAAUUAAAAGUAUAAGGUCACCAAUGGUGGAUAAAUU